This 397-nucleotide ribosomal RNA is filed under the name uncultured bacterium. RNAcentral's name for it is "partial 16S ribosomal RNA". It matches the Rfam family "Bacterial small subunit ribosomal RNA", at positions 523 to 918 of the family's 1533-position model. The record is from RNAcentral.
AUACGUAGGGGGCGAGCGUUGUCCGGAAUGAUUGGGCGUAAAGGGCGCGUAGGCGGCCGCUUAAGUCUGGAGUGAAAGUCCUGUUUUCAAGAUGGGAAUUGCUUUGGAUACUGGGGGGCUUGAGUGCAGGAGAGGUUAUCGGAAUUCCCGGUGUAGCGGUGAAAUGCGUAGAGAUCGGGAGGAACACCAGUGGCGAAGGCGGGUAGCUGUGCUGCAACUGACGCUGAGGCGCGAAAGUGUGGGGAGCAAACAGGAUGAGAUACCCUGGUAGUCCACACUGUAAACGAUGAAUGCUAGGUGUAAGAGGUAUCGACCCCUUUUGUGCCGGAGUCAACACAAUAAGCAUUCCGCCUGGGGAGUACGGCCGCAAGGUUGAAACUCAAAUGAAUUGGCGGGG